GGGCGUAUAGCUCAGCGGUAGAGCACCUCGCUUACAACGAGGCGGCCGGGGGUUCGAUCCCCUCUGCGCCCA
Molecule: transfer RNA, 72 nt
Filed under: Nocardioides acrostichi
Lineage: Bacteria; Bacillati; Actinomycetota; Actinomycetes; Propionibacteriales; Nocardioidaceae
Rfam family: tRNA
About the family: Transfer RNA (tRNA) molecules are approximately 80 nucleotides in length.
Source: Rfam by way of RNAcentral